This 468-nucleotide ribosomal RNA is filed under the name uncultured bacterium. Its description in RNAcentral is "partial 16S ribosomal RNA". It matches the Rfam family "Bacterial small subunit ribosomal RNA", at positions 28 to 523 of the family's 1533-position model. The record is from RNAcentral.
GAUGAACGCUGGCGGCGUGCCUAACACAUGCAAGUCGAGCGAUUUACUUCGGUAAAGAGCGGCGGACGGGUGAGUAACGCGUGGGUAACCUGCCCUGUACACACGGAUAACAUACCGAAAGGUAUGCUAAUACGAGAUAAUAUGCUUUUAUCGCAUGGUAGAAGUAUCAAAGCUGUUGCGGUACAGGAUGGACCCGCGUCUGAUUAGCUAGUUGGUAAGGUAACGGCUUACCAAGGCGACGAUCAGUAGCCGACCUGAGAGGGUGAUCGGCCACAUUGGAACUGAGACACGGUCCAAACUCCUACGGGGGGCAGCAGUGGGGAUUAUUGCACAAUGGGCGAAAGCCUGAUGCAGCAUCGCCGCGUGAGCGAUGAAGGCCUUCGUGUCGUAAAGCUCUGUCCUCAAGGAAGAUAAUGACGGUACUUGAGGAGGAAGCCCCGGCUAACUACGUGCCAGCCGCCGCCGUAA